This 137-nucleotide small nucleolar RNA is filed under the name Tupaia belangeri chinensis (Chinese tree shrew). The record is from RNAcentral. Lineage: Eukaryota; Metazoa; Chordata; Mammalia; Scandentia; Tupaiidae.
GUGGUCCUGACUGAAGACCAGCAGUUACACUAUAGCUGUUGGUUUCAAGCAGAGGCCUAAAGGACUAUCUUCCUAUAGUCUGUUGGCUGUCCUGGAAUCUCAGCAGGGAAUGGCCAUUUCAUUUGGAAGGAACAACC